ACUAGUUACUGGAAAUAGUUUGUUGUUUACGUUAAUUUAAAAUGAACUUAAAUAAAUAAAAUCGUUUGAAUCGUAUUUCUGUCAGAUUUCCUUCCCUUGAUCCUGGGGAGGCGUGCUUUGUGUCUGUUCAAAGGCACAGAGGGAUAACCAGACAGGAUGUCGAUGUCGCAUCUGUACGGGCGCGAUGAGGAGGAGGACGGGGUGGAGCUGGAGCGCUUCGAGGUCACGGACUGGGACCUCCAGAACGAGUUCAACCCAGAGCGCCGGCGCCACCGCCAGACCAAGGAGGAGGCCACCUACGGGAUGUGGGCAGAGCAUGACUCCGACGACGAGAGGCCCAGCUUCGGGGGCAAGAGAACGGCAUGCAGGUCGAAGGACUACACCGCCCCUGUGAACUUCAUCAGCGCAGGGCUGCGCAAGUCUGCAGCGGAGGAGCGAGAGCAGAGACAAAGCCAGCAGGACUCGGACGAUUCCGAUGACAUGGACAAGGGGAAGAGGGAGGAGAGACCCAGGGAGUCGGGGCCCAGGAAACUGCAGACGGGCGCGAGCUUCAAGGGAUCUCAGAAAGGAUUUGUGGGCGGGCCUCGUCUGGGCCAGGAUUUCGCGAACUGGGAGCGACACACCCGUGGGAUCGGGCAGAAGCUGCUGGAGAAGAUGGGCUACGUCCCCGGGAGGGGGCUGGGCAAGAACGCACAAGGUAUCCUUAACCCCAUCGAAGCGAAGGCCCGCAAGGGGAAGGGAGCAGUGGGGGCGUAUGGAGCGGAGAGGACCAAGCAGUCCCUGCAGGACUUCCCCGUGGUGGACUCUGAGGAGGAGGAGGAGAAGGAUUUCCAGCAGGAGAUGAGUCAGUGGCGGAGGGAGCCAGGCCAGGGCAGGAAGAAACCUAAAUACUCGUACAGGACGGUGGACGAGCUGAAAGCCAAGGGCUACGCGAUGGGCAAGAGCAUGGCAGCGCCACCGACAGAGCUGGCACAGGUCAAGGUGAUCGACAUGACUGGGCGCGAGCACAAGGUCUAUUCCAGCUACAGCCAGAUGAGCAACAAGCACAGCGUGCCCGAAGAGCCGCCCCUGGCCCCGGCCGGCAAGGAGCAGAAGAGCCCCGGCUUCGCACUGCCAGAGCUGGAGCACAACCUGCAGCUGCUGAUAGACCUGACCGAGCAGGAGAUCUUGCAGGGAGCGCGGAGGCUGCAGCAUGAGCGUGACGUGGUGGUGUCCCUGUCCCACGAGAGCGAGAUGCUGGCAGAGACGCUGUCCCAGGAGGAGGGGGCGCUGGAGAGGCUGGGCCAGGUGCUGGAGCUGGUGGAGCAGUGCGAGCGAAGGCUGAGCCCAGGGUCCGGCAGCACUGAGGAGCCCCUCUCUCUGGAGGACUGUGCGCAACUCUUCGAGAGGCUGCAGGGGGACUUCUACGAGGAGUACAAGGCGUUCGGACUGGCUGACCUGGCUGUGGCCAUGGUGCACCCCCUGCUCAAGGAGCACUUCAGGGACUGGGAGCCACUCAAGGACAGGAUCUAUGGGAUUGAGGUCAUCGGCAAAUGGAGGGCGCUGCUGGAGAGUGGGCAGAUGGCUCACAGCCAGCCAGACAUGAAUGCAAUGGACCCCUACCACAGGAUGCUGUGGGAGGUUUGGCUUCCCUUUGUGCGCACCUCUGUGACUCGCUGGCAGCCCCGGAACUGCGGGCCCAUGGUGGACUUCCUGGAGAGCUGGGCGCCCAUCCUGCCCAUCUGGAUCCUGGAAAAUAUCCUGGAACAGCUCAUCUUUCCCAAACUGCAGAGAGAGGUGGAGAGCUGGAACCCCUUGACUGACACAGUGCCCAUUCACUCCUGGAUCCACCCCUGGUUGCCUCUGAUGCAGGCACAACUGGAGCCGCUGUACCCACCGAUCCGCAACAAGCUAGCCAGCGCCCUGCAGAAGUGGCACCCCAGCGACAGCUCUGCCAAGCUCAUCCUGCAGCCCUGGAGAGACGUCUUCACGCCUGGGUCAUGGGAGGCAUUCAUGGUGAAGAACAUCGUCCCCAAGCUGGGGCUGUGCCUCAGUGAGUUUGUGGUGAACCCACACCAGCAGCACAUGGACCCUUUCCAAUGGGUGCUGGACUGGGAAGGCAUGCUGUCUCCCUCCAGCCUGGUCGGCAUGCUCGACAAACACUUCUUCCCAAAGUGGCUCCAGGUGCUGUGCUCCUGGCUCAGUAACAACCCUAACUACGAGGAGAUCACCAAGUGGUACCUGGGCUGGAAGUCGAUGCUGUCAGACGCGCUGCUGGCUCACCCCUCCAUCAAGGAGAAGUUCAACGAGGCUCUGGACAUCAUGAACCGCUCCGUGUCCUCUGGCAUCGGCGGGUACAUGCAGCCGGGCGCUCGGGAGAACGUCGCGUACCUCACACACACGGAGCGGCGCAAGGACUUCCAGUACGAGGCGAUGCAGGAGCGCAGGGAGGCGGAGAGCGUGGCUCAGCGUGGCAUCGGGGCUGCGGUCGCAGCCGCCUCCACUAUCCCCACCAACUUCAAGGACCUGAUCCAGGCCAAGGCCGAGGAGCACAACAUCGUCUUCAUGCCCGUGAUGGGCAAGCGGCACGAGGGCAAGCAGCUCUACACCUUCGGGAGGAUCGUCAUCUACAUCGACCGCGGCGUGGUGUUCGUGCAGGGAGAGAAGACCUGGGUGCCCACCUCCCUGCAGAGCCUCAUCGACAUGGCCAAGUAGGGGGGGGGGCGGGGGGGCUGCUGUGGCUUCAGUGCAGCUGAUCCCAACUGUGAACAUCCUAGAACAGGGGCAGCCAAAGCUGUCUCUUCAACUCCUGGUCUUUUCUUCCAACCAUGUUCUAAACUGUUUCAUUGAACCAAUUAAACCUCCACCCAGACCCUGAAGUAGGUCAGUGACCCUCAGUGAAGACAACUGAUGGAGGCAUCAUUAGUAUCUAGGAGAUUUUAUUAUCUAUUCUAAUGAUGCAUUUUGUUAUAAUUACAGCACAAUGCAAUACAGAUUAGUCCUCCUUCUGUUUGACAGAAGGAACGGAGGUCGGCUCCUGAGUCCACUUGAUCAGCUAGUGGGAUAGUGGUGCAAGAGUUACACUGAUCAACCAUUGAAAAAACAUUCAUUAAUUAAUAAAUACAAUAAAUUUGUUUUUUGUAAUGUCAUUUUUUAAAAUCUUUUUUUUUUUAAGUUUGUGUGAACUCCAUGGGGGUUGGAGAGAAACUUUUUUUGAAAACUUUGAAAAAAACCCUUCCUCUGCAUUAUAAAAUACAUGCACAAAUGAGACGCAUGGUACAAUUGUUCAGUCAGUGACCUUAGGGGAUAUAUGAAGUGAAAAAUACAACACAGUGAUUAAUAUUACAUAUUAGUUUGGGAUGUUUUUACCUGCCCUCAGGUGAAUUUAAGAUUCAAAAUAUGUAAUUAAAGAAGUUACAAUUACAAAUCGACUGGCCCUCUAUAUCAUUAAACAGACAGGAUUUAACUCAUGGGAACUCCUAAAAGCGAUGUUCCUGGAGGCCGUUCCACGCCAGGUUUAACAGGCUGGCGACUGCAAGGUUGGGUGGAGAGGAAGAGGUGGAUACGAGGACUGUGUUACAGGAGGAGGAGAUGAGAACGGGAGAGAGAGAGGAUGUACACAGUGUGACAGAGCUGCGGGAGAGAGG
RNA transcript from Polyodon spathula (Mississippi paddlefish), 3626 nucleotides. It is a transcript of the gene named tuftelin-interacting protein 11-like, with no coding region annotated. The transcript is spliced from 15 exons. The record is from RefSeq and is a predicted model, not a curated record. Lineage: Eukaryota; Metazoa; Chordata; Actinopteri; Acipenseriformes; Polyodontidae.